Quercus robur (English oak) is the source of this 987-nucleotide long non-coding RNA. RefSeq lists it as uncharacterized. The record is from RefSeq and is a predicted model, not a curated record. Lineage: Eukaryota; Viridiplantae; Streptophyta; Magnoliopsida; Fagales; Fagaceae. The transcript is spliced from 6 exons.
UCAAUUAAAAAAACAGGCUUGCUUGCUGUAUGGAGAAAGAGGAAGAGAACGGAGUGGUAAAAAUACAAACGAAAGGCUUGAGAAAUAUAUAGUCACAAAGAGAGACAGUUUGUAUGGCGCCAAGAGAGAAAAAGAGAGAGGCGAUGAGGCCUGAGAGAGACAUGGAGAAAGAAACUGAGAAAGGGGAAGAAUCAGACCACCGGAACCACAAGCACAUAGAAAGAAAAAUCUAUGGCCCAUCAAAACCGUAAAUUUUUUUAGAUUUGGAAUGAUUGAGAGGGAUACAGAGAUAGUGUUCGUGAAUGUCGCUGCCACCAGCGUCAGUCCGGCUUCCUACCACCGUCAGUAGCCUCGCCAUAGAAGAAAAAUCUAUGGACCAUCAACACCGUAAGGCCAUAUACGCACCACCAUCAGAUUAUCGGAACUGCCGCCAGUACCUUCUUUCCCCCUUUUUAGAUCUAGGUUUAUUGUUCGGUUAAGGUUUAUCGGAACCGCAGGCACAGAGAGACAGGCUAUAUACCCGUAACCGAUCACUCAUCCCUGACUUAUAAGACUUUUGGCUACUAUUGGAUAAGAGCUACUAAAUUAAAUUGAAAGAUAUUGACGUUGACAUGGGCCAUUCCUUUGGAGAAACUAGAAUUAACAUAAGUACAGAUGAUACUUUGGUAAAAGGACACAAAAGACAAAUUUGUCAGAAAAACAAGGGAGGACAGCAGUUCUCUAUUUACAACUGCCAUAUCUGCUAAAGAGGAAAAUCAGAUGAUGAUAGCAUACCAAUUCAAAUGCUUCACAAACGAAGCACGGCUACUAAACAAAAUGCAUUGAAGAAGAAGAAAAUUUGAAGAGAAAAAAAAUAACCAGUAGAUGUACUACAUUACCCAGAUGAAAUGUAAUGUAUUUUAUUAUAUUCUUAUGUUAAGUUGAUAGAAUUUUAAAUAUGUAAAAUGUUCCUGUGUAUUGCGUGUGUUAAAUGAUUUGUAUUGAAUA